UUUUUUCUUUUUUUUUCUUUUUUUUUUAGUAAACAAAAGUAAGAGAAACAGUGAUGUAUAAUUCAAGCAUGCUUGGUGAUCUCAAACCAAUCACAAGGAGUCCCACCCAAAGGCAAAGGGAACCAAGAUGCUCAUGAUCGUUGAGGCUAUGAAAAUUUAAUAUUAUGAUGCCAUGAGGGAUCUUAGGGUCAAAAUUAGGGUCUUACAGAUGCCCCUAUGUAGCACCUCAAAUUUGC
Molecule: long non-coding RNA, 236 nt
Filed under: Lathyrus oleraceus (garden pea)
Lineage: Eukaryota; Viridiplantae; Streptophyta; Magnoliopsida; Fabales; Fabaceae
Description: Pisum sativum (pea) long non-coding RNA (PSAT_LNC020484)
Source: RNAcentral